GGGCCGAUAGCUCAGCUGGUUAGAGCGCAAAGCUUAUACCUUUGAUGUCCCUGGUUCGAAUCCAGGUCGGCCCA
Molecule: transfer RNA, 74 nt
Filed under: Candidatus Collierbacteria bacterium RIFOXYD1_FULL_40_9
Lineage: Bacteria; Candidatus Collieribacteriota
Description: tRNA-Ile
Rfam family: tRNA
About the family: Transfer RNA (tRNA) molecules are approximately 80 nucleotides in length. Their secondary structure includes four short double-helical elements and three loops (D, anti-codon, and T loops).
Source: RNAcentral